GAUCCUGGCUCAGGAUGAACGCUAGCGACAGGCUUAACACAUGCAAGUCGAGGGGCAGCGGGGAGGUAGCAAUACUUCCGCCGGCGACCGGCGCACUGGUGAGUAACACGUAUGCAACCUGCCCCGGGCUGGGGGAUAACCCGCGGAAACGCGGCCUAAUACCCCGUAUGCAUCGGCGCCGCAUGACGCCGCUGUGAUAGGAUUCCGUCCCGGGAUGGGCAUGCGGCGCAUUAGCUUGUUGGCGGGGCAACGGCCCACCAAGGCGACGAUGCGUAGGGGUUCUGAGAGGAAGGUCCCCCACACUGGUACUGAGACACGGACCAGACUCCUACGGGAGGCAGCAGUGAGGAAUAUUGGUCAAUGGACGGCGGUCUGAACCAGCCAAGUCGCGUGAGGGAUGACGGCCCUACGGGUUGUAAACCUCUUUUGCCGGGGAGUAACCCAUGCCACGUGUGGCAUGCUGAGAGUACCCGGCGAAUAAGCAUCGGCUAACUCCGUGCC
RNAcentral lists this ribosomal RNA (501 nucleotides) under uncultured organism. RNAcentral describes it as "SSU rRNA". It matches the Rfam family "Bacterial small subunit ribosomal RNA", at positions 15 to 509 of the family's 1533-position model. The record is from RNAcentral.